This 448-nucleotide ribosomal RNA is filed under the name uncultured bacterium. RNAcentral describes it as "bacterial SSU rRNA". It matches the Rfam family "Bacterial small subunit ribosomal RNA", at positions 329 to 793 of the family's 1533-position model. The record is from RNAcentral.
AACCAGACUCCUACGGGAGGCAGCAGUGGGGAAUAUUGCACAAUGGGCGAAAGCCUGAUGCAGCAACGCCGCGUGAAGGAAGAAGGCCUUCGGGUCGUAAACUUCUGUCCUUGGGGAAGAAGAACUGACGGUACCCAAGGAGGAAGCCCCGGCUAACUACGUGCCAGCAGCCGCGGUAAUACGUAGGGGGCAAGCGUUAUCCGGAAUUAUUGGGCGUAAAGAGUACGUAGGUGGCAACCUAAGCGCAGGGUUUAAGGCAAUGGCUCAACCAUUGUUCGCCCUGCGAACUGGGAUGCUUGAGUGCAGGAGAGGAAAGCGGAAUUCCUAGUGUAGCGGUGAAAUGCGUAGAUAUCAGGAGGAACACCGGCGGCGAAGGCGGCCUGCUGGACCGCGACUGACGUUGAGGCUCGAAAGCGUGGGGAGCGAACAGGAUUAGAUACCCGCGUAU